AUCUUGGACCUGGCAUCAAAAUGCGAGAGGCAGCAUUUACACACGCCUUGGAAAAGGCUGCCACUCCUGGCCGCUUUCUCGGAAUGGUCAGCCGACCACUAUGGGAGCCUGCGGAGCUCUUGGACAGGAGAAUGUCAGGGCAAGCCUGCAGGCGUCUCCUCUAGGAGGGUGUGGUGGGAAAGAAGCCCCUAACACAAGAAAAAAUUGACGCUCUAACUGGUUUCAUCAUGCGAUACCAACAUGCCCAAGCCAUCAUCUUAGCCAUCCAGAUGUGCUGGCAAAAACGGCAUGGAAGAAAAGAGCCAUGGACAGCCCUGUCUGCAAGGGAAUGUGUGCGAGUGGUGCGUGUUGGGAAAAAAAAUAAAAUAGUAAGUUUCAUU
Ixodes scapularis (black-legged tick) is the source of this 380-nucleotide long non-coding RNA. RefSeq lists it as uncharacterized. The record is from RefSeq and is a predicted model, not a curated record. NCBI's taxonomy places the organism in Eukaryota, Metazoa, Arthropoda, Arachnida, Ixodida, Ixodidae. The transcript is spliced from 2 exons.